Molecule: ribosomal RNA, 301 nt
Filed under: uncultured bacterium
Lineage: Bacteria
Description: partial 16S ribosomal RNA
Rfam family: Bacterial small subunit ribosomal RNA
Source: RNAcentral
CAGUCGCCGCGGUAAUACAGAGGGUGCGAGCGUUAAUCGGAUUUACUGGGCGUAAAGCGUGCGUAGGCGGCUUUUUAAGUCGGAUGUGAAAUCCCUGAGCUUAACUUAGGAAUUGCAUUCGAUACUGGGAAGCUAGAGUAUGGGAGAGGAUGGUAGAAUUCCAGGUGUAGCGGUGAAAUGCGUAGAGAUCUGGAGGAAUACCGAUGGCGAAGGCAGCCAUCUGGCCUAAUACUGACGCUGAGGUACGAAAGCAUGGGGAGCAAACAGGAUUAGAUACCCGUGUAGUCCCUGUCUCUUAUAC